This 726-nucleotide long non-coding RNA is filed under the name Lupinus angustifolius (narrow-leaved blue lupine). Its description in RNAcentral is "long non-coding RNA (LANG_LNC002449)". Lineage: Eukaryota; Viridiplantae; Streptophyta; Magnoliopsida; Fabales; Fabaceae. The record is from RNAcentral.
ACAAAGCCCAAGUCUUUCAAUUGUUUGGAAAAAGACAAGAACUCUCCCUUUCUUGGUCUAUUUCAUUCUGCUUUCUCUCAAUUUCCAUCACUUUCUAUUCAUCACUCUUUAUUCAUAACAUUCUUUCUCACUUUUUACAAGGAUCACAGUCCCGAUGAUUUCCAACGUCCUUAUCACCCUCCUCUUACUCUUAUUUCUUUAGCUCUCCCUCUUCCAUCUACCAUAAUGAUUAACCCCCUUCUAACCGCAUUAGGAUUACCCAACAUCAAGAUUUCGGUCAAGAUGAAACCGAGGACUUCAAUUACAAAGGGACAAUCUUGAUGAAUUUGGUGGUGACCCAAGAGGUAAAAGAAAGUUGGGUCUUGAUUUCCUUGUUCUGUUGUUUAAAUUUUAUAGUAUAGAUGUUAGCUUUCAGUUUUUGUAUUUUCUGUUGGCUUUUUUGAUGAUUUGAUCACCAGAUUCUUUGUGGUGUUAAGACUUCGGCCAAAUCAUUAGGAUCAUUAGGAACUUGUCUGUUUAGAAGUCUUGUCAUUGUGUGGCAUUAAAUCUGUUUGUGAUUGAUUUAUCAAGGAUUACAUGGUUGCUUGUGGUUACAACAUGAAGAAGCUUGUUUUAAAGGAUUGUAUGUCAGUACUACUUGAGCAGUCCAAUGCAUGCUUGAAAUCUAUUUAAUAAGUUAUUUUUUCACAGAAAUGUUUUUGUAUUCUAGUAAUGAUCAAUUCCAAG